CCGGAUACCCUGGGGGAUCGCACCGGAUAAAGCGGUCCCCGCCCAGUCCCCG
This 52-nucleotide non-coding RNA is filed under the name unclassified sequences. The record is from RNAcentral.